This is a regulatory RNA element of Pediococcus cellicola, 120 nucleotides long. It matches the Rfam family "Ribosomal protein L20 leader". From Rfam's summary of the family: This family is a putative r-protein leader autoregulatory structure found in B. subtilis and other low-GC Gram-positive bacteria. It is located in the 5' untranslated regions of mRNAs encoding initiation factor 3 followed by ribosomal proteins L35 and L20 (infC-rpmI-rplT). NCBI's taxonomy places the organism in Bacteria, Bacillati, Bacillota, Bacilli, Lactobacillales, Lactobacillaceae. The record is from Rfam.
GAAAUUAAGCAGAGGCACCCGCUUCUCGCCUUAGUAAUUUAGAUUGCUGGGCUAAAACGAUGAAAAGACUAUGAAUGGUCUUAAUGGCGGGGUGUGUAUGCACCUCGUUUUUUUCUGCCU